Molecule: ribosomal RNA, 871 nt
Filed under: Escherichia coli
Lineage: Bacteria; Pseudomonadati; Pseudomonadota; Gammaproteobacteria; Enterobacterales; Enterobacteriaceae
Description: partial 23S ribosomal RNA
Rfam family: Bacterial large subunit ribosomal RNA
Source: RNAcentral
GGGUUGUGAGGUUAAGCGACUAAGCGUACACGGUGGAUGCCCUGGCAGUCAGAGGCGAUGAAGGACGUGCUAAUCUGCGAUAAGCGUCGGUAAGGUGAUAUGAACCGUUAUAACCGGCGAUUUCCGAAUGGGGAAACCCAGUGUGUUUCGACACACUAUCAUUAACUGAAUCCAUAGGUUAAUGAGGCGAACCGGGGGAACUGAAACAUCUAAGUACCCCGAGGAAAAGAAAUCAACCGAGAUUCCCCCAGUAGCGGCGAGCGAACGGGGAGCAGCCCAGAGCCUGAAUCAGUGUGUGUGUUAGUGGAAGCGUCUGGAAAGGCGCGCGAUACAGGGUGACAGCCCCGUACACAAAAAUGCACAUGCUGUGAGCUCGAUGAGUAGGGCGGGACACGUGGUAUCCUGUCUGAAUAUGGGGGGACCAUCCUCCAAGGCUAAAUACUCCUGACUGACCGAUAGUGAACCAGUACCGUGAGGGAAAGGCGAAAAGAACCCCGGCGAGGGGAGUGAAAAAGAACCUGAAACCGUGUACGUACAAGCAGUGGGAGCACGCUUAGGCGUGUGACUGCGUACCUUUUGUAUAAUGGGUCAGCGACUUAUAUUCUGUAGCAAGGUUAACCGAAUAGGGGAGCCGAAGGGAAACCGAGUCUUAACUGGGCGUUAAGUUGCAGGGUAUAGACCCGAAACCCGGUGAUCUAGCCAUGGGCAGGUUGAAGGUUGGGUAACACUAACUGGAGGACCGAACCGACUAAUGUUGAAAAAUUAGCGGAUGACUUGUGGCUGGGGGUGAAAGGCCAAUCAAACCGGGAGAUAGCUGGUUCUCCCCGAAAGCUAUUUAGGUAGCGCCUCGUGAAUUCAUCUCCGGGGGUAG